RNAcentral lists this ribosomal RNA (449 nucleotides) under uncultured bacterium. Its description in RNAcentral is "partial 16S ribosomal RNA". It matches the Rfam family "Bacterial small subunit ribosomal RNA", at positions 29 to 523 of the family's 1533-position model. The record is from RNAcentral.
AACGAACGCUGGCGGCAUGCCUAACACAUGCAAGUCGAACGAGAUCUUCGGGUCUAGUGGCGCACGGGUGCGUAACGCGUGGGAAUCUGCCCUUUGGUUCGGAAUAACAGUUGGAAACGACUGCUAAUACCGGAUGAUGACGAAAGUCCAAAGAUUUAUCGCCAGAGGAUGAGCCCGCGUAGGAUUAGCCAGUUGGUAUGGUAAAGGCGCGCCAAGGCGACGAUCCUUAGCUGGUCUGAGAGGAUGAUCAGCCACACUGGGACUGAGACACGGCCCAGACUCCUACGGGAGGCAGCAGUGGGGAAUAUUGGACAAUGGGCGAAAGCCUGAUCCAGCAAUGCCGCGUGAGUGAUGAGGGCCUUAGGGUUGUAAAGCUCUUUUACCCGGGAUGAUAAUGACAGUACCGGGAGAAUAAGCUCCGGCUAACUCCGUGCCAGCCGCCGCGGUAA